This 527-nucleotide ribosomal RNA is filed under the name Serratia marcescens. RNAcentral describes it as "bacterial SSU rRNA". It matches the Rfam family "Bacterial small subunit ribosomal RNA", at positions 103 to 626 of the family's 1533-position model. The record is from RNAcentral. Lineage: Bacteria; Pseudomonadati; Pseudomonadota; Gammaproteobacteria; Enterobacterales; Yersiniaceae.
CGGGUGAGUAAUGUCUGGGAAACUGCCUGAUGGAGGGGGAUAACUACUGGAAACGGUAGCUAAUACCGCAUAACGUCGCAAGACCAAAGAGGGGGACCUUCGGGCCUCUUGCCAUCAGAUGUGCCCAGAUGGGAUUAGCUAGUAGGUGGGGUAAUGGCUCACCUAGGCGACGAUCCCUAGCUGGUCUGAGAGGAUGACCAGCCACACUGGAACUGAGACACGGUCCAGACUCCUACGGGAGGCAGCAGUGGGGAAUAUUGCACAAUGGGCGCAAGCCUGAUGCAGCCAUGCCGCGUGUGUGAAGAAGGCCUUCGGGUUGUAAAGCACUUUCAGCGAGGAGGAAGGUGGUGAACUUAAUACGUUCAUCAAUUGACGUUACUCGCAGAAGAAGCACCGGCUAACUCCGUGCCAGCAGCCGCGGUAAUACGGAGGGUGCAAGCGUUAAUCGGAAUUACUGGGCGUAAAGCGCACGCAGGCGGUUUGUUAAGUCAGAUGUGAAAUCCCCGGGCUCAACCUGGGAACUGCAU